Molecule: transfer RNA, 63 nt
Filed under: Hirudo verbana
Lineage: Eukaryota; Metazoa; Annelida; Clitellata; Hirudinida; Hirudinidae
Description: tRNA-Asp
Source: RNAcentral
AAGAUUUUAGUUAAUAAAUAAUAUUAGUUUGUCAGACUAAAGUAAUCUAAAAAAUAAGUCUUU